Molecule: ribosomal RNA, 253 nt
Filed under: uncultured bacterium
Lineage: Bacteria
Description: partial 16S ribosomal RNA
Rfam family: Bacterial small subunit ribosomal RNA
Source: RNAcentral
UACGGAGGAUCCGAGCGUUAUCCGGAUUUAUUGGGUUUAAAGGGUGUGUAGGCGGGCUUUUAAGUCAGUGGUGAAAUCUCCGGGCUCAACCUGGAAACUGCCAUUGAUACUAUUAGUCUUGAAUUUUGUUGAGGUAGGCGGAAUAAGUCAUGUAGCGGUGAAAUGCAUAGAUAUGACUUAGAACACCAAUUGCGAAGGCAGCUUGCUAAACAAAUAUUGACGCUGAGGCACGAAAGCGUGGGGAUCAAACAGG